UACGAAGGGGGCUAGCGUUGUUCGGAAUUACUGGGCGUAAAGGGCGCGUAGGCGGCCUGACAAGUCAGAGGUGAAAGUCCUGGGCUCAACCUGGGGACUGCCUUUGAAACUGUUGGGCUUGAGACCGGGAGAGGUGAGUGGAAUUCCCAGUGUAGAGGUGAAAUUCGUAGAUAUUGGGAAGAACACCAGUGGCGAAGGCGGCUCACUGGACCGGUUCUGACGCUGAGGCGCGAAAGCGUGGGGAGCAAACAGG
This 253-nucleotide ribosomal RNA is filed under the name uncultured bacterium. RNAcentral describes it as "partial 16S ribosomal RNA". It matches the Rfam family "Bacterial small subunit ribosomal RNA", at positions 524 to 776 of the family's 1533-position model. The record is from RNAcentral.